This 519-nucleotide ribosomal RNA is filed under the name uncultured eukaryote. Its description in RNAcentral is "SSU rRNA". It matches the Rfam family "Eukaryotic small subunit ribosomal RNA", at positions 1161 to 1699 of the family's 1831-position model. The record is from RNAcentral.
AGGGCACCACCAGGAGUGGAGCCUGCGGCUUAAUUUGACUCAACACGGGAAAACUCACCCGGCCCGGACACUGGAAGGAUUGACAGAUUGAGAGCUCUUUCUUGAUUCAGUGGGUGGUGGUGCAUGGCCGUUCUUAGUUGGUGGAGUGAUUUGUCUGGCUAAUUCCGAUAACGAACGAGACUCUAGCCUACUAAAUAGAUCGUCGGCUUACAAACGCCGGCGAGACUUCUUAGAGGGACAGGCGGUGAUUCAACCGCACGAAACAAAGCAAUAACAGGUCUGUGAUGCCCUUAGAUGUCCGGGGCCGCACGCGCGCUACACUGAAGUGAUCAGCGUGCUUUUUCAACCUACUCUGUCAAGAGUGGGGAACCCAAUGAACCUUCUUCGUGAUUGGGAUAGGGGAUUGUAAUUAUUCCCCUUGAACGAGGAAUUCCCAGUAAGCGCGAGUCAUAAGCUCGCGUUGAUUACGUCCCUGCCCUUUGUACACACCGCCCGUCGCUACUACCGAUUGAAUGUUUU